Molecule: ribosomal RNA, 300 nt
Filed under: uncultured Lactobacillus sp.
Lineage: Bacteria; Bacillati; Bacillota; Bacilli; Lactobacillales; Lactobacillaceae
Description: bacterial SSU rRNA
Rfam family: Bacterial small subunit ribosomal RNA
Source: RNAcentral
GUGUAAUACGGGCCGGCGGGCGCGGUAAGACGGAGGUAGCGAGCGUGGUCCCGAUUUACAGGGCGUAAAGAGCGCGCAGGCGGGCGUUCAAGUGGCGUGUGAAAGCCCCCGGCGGAACGGGGUAGGGUCUCGCGAUACUGAUCGGCUCGAAGGCAGGAGAGGGUAGUGGAAUUCCCGGUGUAGUGGUGAAAUGCGUAGAUAUCGGGAGGAACACCAGUGGCGAAGGCGACUACCUGGCCUGUUCUUGACGCUGAGGCGCGAAAGCUAGGGGAGCAAACGGGAUUAGAUACCCGGGUAGUC